RNAcentral lists this ribosomal RNA (269 nucleotides) under uncultured Bacteroidota bacterium. RNAcentral describes it as "uncultured Bacteroidetes bacterium partial 16S ribosomal RNA". It matches the Rfam family "Bacterial small subunit ribosomal RNA", at positions 28 to 294 of the family's 1533-position model. Lineage: Bacteria; Pseudomonadati; Bacteroidota. The record is from RNAcentral.
GAUUAACGCUAGCGGCAGGCCUAACACAUGCAAGUCGAGGGGUAACAGGUGUAGCAAUACAUGCUGACGACCGGCGCACGGGUGAGUAACGCGUAUGCAACCUACCUUUAACAGGAAGAUAGCCCCGAGAAAUCGGGAUUAAUACUCCAUAAUGAUUAAGAACUGCAUGGUUUUUAAUUUAAAGUUCCGACGGUUAAAGAUGGGCAUGCGUGACAUUAGCUAGUUGGUGAGGUAACGGCUCACCAAGGCUACGAUGGUUAGGGGGUCGU